This is a non-coding RNA of Lupinus albus (white lupine), 935 nucleotides long. The record is from the annotation of a GenBank genome assembly. NCBI's taxonomy places the organism in Eukaryota, Viridiplantae, Streptophyta, Magnoliopsida, Fabales, Fabaceae.
UUAGUGAACUUAUGAGAGAUGUUUAUAUUGAGUUUCUUUCUCUUUUAUCUCCCAUCUAUCUAUAAUCUAUUCUAUAUUUUCUUUAAUCUAUUUUCUUUAGUUCUUCACUAGAACAAUUAUGAUCUAGAAGUCAAUCCGAGGCAAGUGUUCGGAUCUAUUAUGACAUAGCAGUGAGGCGCUCAACGGACCUUUUUUAAUCUUCUAAAACAUUUUCUGAGUUUUGAAUUGAAGUUAAAUAGUUUUUUUAUGCAACCUAGCUAGCGUAUUCAGAUUUUAAUUAGAAAGUUCCUAGAUAGAACUUUUUUAACUUUCGGUCUUACAUAGAAGAUAUUAUGAAGAUAUUAUUAUGUACUCUAUUUCAAAUCACGUGAGCAAUCAUUAGCAUUACUAGGGGACAUACUGGUAUUUCUAUUUAGUUUUUCGAAAGUCUCUUUUAUUAGUUUGAAUAAUCUAAAAAAUAAAAUUUUCUACUUACUGUAUUCACGUCUCGUUUAUCUCUACAAAAUACCAGAUGAAAUAGAACUCUUUUAGAAGGGAUAUAAUGAAAUUCUUUGAUGAGUUCUUCCUCGAUAAACGAUAUUUUUUAUUUAACUGAUGGGGACAACAAACAAAAAAUUAUAACAAAUUAAAUAUAUAAUAAAUAGAUCAAAUAUCAAAAUAGAAUAGAUAAAAAGAAAUAUAAAAAAUAUAAAUAAUAAACAGAGUGUUCUUAUUCAAAACGUCCUGUGAUCUUCAACCAAUUCUGUGCUUCAAUAUAAUUACCAGGGGUAAGGGCUAUAGCUUGUUUCCAAUAUUCAGCGGCCUGAUCAAACCAAGCCUCCGCAAUUUCCGAAUAUCCCUGUCGAAUGGCCUGUUCUCCGCGUCGCACGUAAUGACAGAUCACGGCCAUAUUAUUAAAAGCUUGGGGUAAGAAGGGGUUUCGUUCGAGUGCCCUA